AUAUUCUGUAGCAAGGUUAACCGAAUAGGGGAGCCGCAGGGAAACCGAGUCUUAAUUGGGCGUUAAGUUGCAGGGUAUAGACCCGAAACCCGGUGAUCUAGCCAUGGGCAGGUUGAAGGUUGGGUAACACUAACUGGAGGACCGAACCGACUAAUGUUGAAAAAUUAGCGGAUGACCUGUGGCUGGGGGUGAAAGGCCAAUCAAACCGGGAGAUAGCUGGUUCUCCCCGAAAGCUAUUUAGGUAGCGCCUCGUGAAUUCAUCUCCGGGGGUAGAGCACUGUUUCGGCUAGGGGGCCAUCCCGGCUUACCAACCCGAUGCAAACUGCGAAUACCGGAGAAUGUUAUCACGGGAGACACACGGCGGGUGCUAACGUCCGUCGUGAAGAGGGAAACAACCCAGACCGCCAGCUAAGGUCCCAAAGUCAUGGUUAAGUGGGAAACGAUGUGGGAAGGCCCAGACAGCCAGGAUGUUGGCUUAGAAGCAGCCAUCAUUUAAAGAAAGCGUAAUAGCUCACUGGUCGAGUCGGCCUGCGCGGAAGAUGUAACGGGGCUAAACCAUGCACCGAAGCUGCGGCAGCGAACGUAUCACCCAAGACAACUUUGCGGAGUUGACGAUUGACGGAGCGAAGCGACGUCAAAGCGUUCAUUAAAGUCGAGUUGGCUUAGGGAUACGUUCGUUGGGUAGGGGAGCGUUCUGUAAGCCUGUGAAGGUGGCCUGUGAGGGUUGCUGGAGGUAUCAGAAGUGCGAAUGCUGACAUAAGUAACGAUAAAGCGGGUGAAAAGCCCGCUCGCCGGAAGACCAAGGGUUCCUGUCCAACGUUAAUCGGGGCAGGGUGAGUCGACCCCUAAGGCGAGGCCGAAAGGCGUAGUCGAUGGGAAACGGGUUAAUAUUCCCGUACUUGGUGUUACUGCGAAGGGGGGACGGAGAAGGCUAUGUUGGCCGGGCGACGGUUGUCCCGGUUUAAGCGUGUAGGUGUGUGUUCCAGGUAAAUCCGGUUCACUUUAACACUGAGGCGUGAUGACGAGGCACUACGGUGCUGAAGCAACAAAUGCCCUGCUUCCAGGAAAAGCCUCUAAGCAUCAGGUAACACGAAAUCGUACCCCAAACCGACACAGGUGGUCAGGUAGAGAAUACCAAGGCGCUUGAGAGAACUCGGGUGAAGGAACUAGGCAAAAUGGUGCCGUAACUUCGGGAGAAGGCACGCUGACACGUAGGUGAAGUGAUUUACUCAUGGAGCUGAAGUCAGUCGAAGAUACCAGCUGGCUGCAACUGUUUAUUAAAAACACAGCACUGUGCAAACACGAAAGUGGACGUAUACGGUGUGACGCCUGCCCGGUGCCGGAAGGUUAAUUGAUGGGGUCAGCGCAAGCGAAGCUCCUGAUCGAAGCCCCGGUAAACGGCGGCCGUAACUAUAACGGUCCUAAGGUAGCGAAAUUCCUUGUCGGGUAAGUUCCGACCUGCACGAAUGGCGUAAUGAUGGCCAGGCUGUCUCCACCCGAGACUCAGUGAAAUUGAACUCGCUGUGAAGAUGCAGUGUACCCGCGGCAAGACGGAAAGACCCCGUGAACCUUUACUAUAGCUUGACACUGAACAUUGAGCCUUGAUGUGUAGGAUAGGUGGGAGGCUUUGAAGUGUGGACGCCAGUCUGCAUGGAGCCGACCUUGAAAUACCACCCUUUAAUGUUUGAUGUUCUAACGUGGACCCGUAAUCCGGGUUGCGGACAGUGUCUGGUGGGUAGUUUGACUGGGGCGGUCUCCUCCUAAAGAGUAACGGAGGAGCACGAAGGUUGGCUAAUCCUGGUCGGACAUCAGGAGGUUAGUGCAAUGGCAUAAGCCAGCUUGACUGCGAGCGUGACGGCGCGAGCAGGUGCGAAAGCAGGUCAUAGUGAUCCGGUGGUUCUGAAUGGAAGGGCCAUCGCUCAACGGAUAAAAGGUACUCCGGGGAUAACAGGCUGAUACCGCCCAAGAGUUCAUAUCGACGGCGGUGUUUGGCACCUCGAUGUCGGCUCAUCACAUCCUGGGGCUGAAGUAGGUCCCAAGGGUAUGGCUGUUCGCCAUUUAAAGUGGUACGCGAGCUGGGUUUAGAACGUCGUGAGACAGUUCGGUCCCUAUCUGCCGUGGGCGCUGGAGAACUGAGGGGGGCUGCUCCUAGUACGAGAGGACCGGAGUGGACGCAUCACUGGUGUUCGGGUUGUCAUGCCAAUGGCACUGCCCGGUAGCUAAAUGCGGAAGAGAUAAGUGCUGAAAGCAUCUAAGCACGAAACUU
This 2266-nucleotide ribosomal RNA is filed under the name Salmonella enterica subsp. enterica serovar Adelaide. RNAcentral's name for it is "partial 23S ribosomal RNA". It matches the Rfam family "Bacterial large subunit ribosomal RNA", at positions 630 to 2795 of the family's 2925-position model. The record is from RNAcentral. Lineage: Bacteria; Pseudomonadati; Pseudomonadota; Gammaproteobacteria; Enterobacterales; Enterobacteriaceae.